Molecule: long non-coding RNA, 621 nt
Filed under: Cricetulus griseus (Chinese hamster)
Lineage: Eukaryota; Metazoa; Chordata; Mammalia; Rodentia; Cricetidae
Description: lncRNA (ENSCGRG00000026409.1)
Source: RNAcentral
AUUUAAGCAAAGGAAACAGAAAGUGUCCCCUUUUCCCCUUUGCAUCCUCCAGUGGCAGUAUGUGAGCCACUGGCAAGAGAGGGCACCAGCGAAAGGCAUCCUCUAUAAGCUGGAUGCUGUAAUGGAGUAUGUACUGUCAUCUGAGGGCUUGAUUUGGUUGGCUGACUUACUCAUCAUUGCACUGCUAUAUCCUGUCACAUGCUGCUGAGGAACUGAGCAGGUCUGGAGGCUGAGGAAAGCUGCUUUCGGACCUGAGCAAAUAACAGCUACAAAAAUAAAUCAAGACCAAUCAGUGCAGUUAUUUAGGCUUAAGAGGUCUGGCAGAACCCUCAUGGACAUGAAGGACCAGAAUUGAAGAUACAUUUAAUAAUAUAUAUGUAUGCAGAUACAGUUUUGAAUUAUUCAAAAGGAAUCAUGAUGAAAUUCAUCUGUGAAUGCUAUCAACAGACUGACACCCUCUUUCUGAGAGAUGCUUAUAGCAAUGAAGUAUCUUCAAGAUCUUGAAGAGAAGACCUUGUGAUAAAUAAUCUUUUAUGAGCCUUGUGAUUCUCAUUUAAUUAAAGAUGAACUGGAUAAGCUUUCUAUCUCUCCUUGGGAUUUUUAAUAAAAGUUAAAAAUAAU